RNAcentral lists this unclassified non-coding RNA (372 nucleotides) under Hevea brasiliensis (rubber tree). Lineage: Eukaryota; Viridiplantae; Streptophyta; Magnoliopsida; Malpighiales; Euphorbiaceae. The record is from RNAcentral.
CUGAAAUGAAACUUCUUAGACCUUCAAGGCAAAGAAGAUUUCCCAGAAAAAGAAAAUGAAGGGGGAAAAUCAAAAUCUCUCGUCUGUAAAGAAAAGUAGAAGGAUAGCCAUCUGCAUAAAUCAUUGGAAAGAAGUUCUCUCUCUUUUUUAUGCACACACAUGUGAGAAAAUCAUGAAAAAAUUAAUUUAUACCAAGGUCCUUUUUCGAUUUAAUUGAAUUUAAAAACAUUUCUUCCCUGUGUGUGCAUAAAUCAUUGGAAAGAAGUUCUCUCUCUUUUUUAUGCACACACAUGUGAGAAAAUCAUGAAAAAAUUAAUUUAUACCAAGGUCCUUUUUCGAUUUAAUUGAAUUUAAAAACAUUUCUUCCCUGUG